UACGGGGGGGGCAAGCGUUGUUCGGAAUUAUUGGGCGUAAAGAGCUCGUAGGCGGCUUGUUGCGUCAGCUGUGAAAACCCGCAGCUCAACUGUGGGCUUGCAGCUGAUACGGGCAGGCUUGAGUUCGGUAGGGGAGACUGGAAUUCCUGGUGUAGCGGUGAAAUGCGCAGAUAUCAGGAGGAACACCGGUGGCGAAGGCGGGUCUCUGGACAGUUCCUGACGCUGAGGCACGAAGGCCAGGGGAGCAAACGGG
Molecule: ribosomal RNA, 253 nt
Filed under: uncultured bacterium
Lineage: Bacteria
Description: partial 16S ribosomal RNA
Rfam family: Bacterial small subunit ribosomal RNA
Source: RNAcentral